Molecule: transfer RNA, 62 nt
Filed under: Typosyllis antoni
Lineage: Eukaryota; Metazoa; Annelida; Polychaeta; Phyllodocida; Syllidae
Description: tRNA-Leu
Source: RNAcentral
AUUAUGGUGGCAGAUUAGUGCACUGAUUUUAAGAAUCAUAUAUAGAAAUUUUCUCCAUAAAA